UUAAAUUGAAGAGUUUGAUCAUGGCUCAGAUUGAACGCUGGCGGCAGGCCUAACACAUGCAAGUCGAACGGUAACAGGAAGCAGCUUGCUGCUUUGCUGACGAGUGGCGGACGGGUGAGUAAUGUCUGGGAAACUGCCCGAUGGAGGGGGAUAACUACUGGAAACGGUAGCUAAUACCGCAUAACGUCGCAAGACCAAAGAGGGGGACCUUAGGGCCUCUUGCCAUCGGAUGUGCCCAGAUGGGAUUAGCUAGUAGGUGGGGUAACGGCUCACCUAGGCGACGAUCCCUAGCUGGUCUGAGAGGAUGACCAGCCACACUGGAACUGAGACACGGUCCAGACUCCUACGGGAGGCAGCAGUGGGGAAUAUUGCACAAUGGGCGCAAGCCUGAUGCAGCCAUGCCGCGUGUAUGAAGAAGG
This 419-nucleotide ribosomal RNA is filed under the name Escherichia coli. RNAcentral's name for it is "bacterial SSU rRNA". It matches the Rfam family "Bacterial small subunit ribosomal RNA", at positions 1 to 414 of the family's 1533-position model. Lineage: Bacteria; Pseudomonadati; Pseudomonadota; Gammaproteobacteria; Enterobacterales; Enterobacteriaceae. The record is from RNAcentral.